Molecule: ribosomal RNA, 506 nt
Filed under: uncultured bacterium
Lineage: Bacteria
Description: partial 16S ribosomal RNA
Rfam family: Bacterial small subunit ribosomal RNA
Source: RNAcentral
AGUGAACGCUGGCGGUAGGCCUAACACAUGCAAGUCGAACGGCAGCACAGGAGAGCUUGCUCUCUGGGUGGCGAGUGGCGGACGGGUGAGGAAUACAUCGGAAUCUACUCUGUCGUGGGGGAUAACGUAGGGAAACUUACGCUAAUACCGCAUACGACCUACGGGUGAAAGCAGGGGACCUUCGGGCCUUGCGCGAUUGAAUGAGCCGAUGUCGGAUUAGCUAGUUGGCGGGGUAAAGGCCCACCAAGGCGACGAUCCGUAGCUGGUCUGAGAGGAUGAUAAGCCACACUGGAACUGAGACACGGUCCAGACUCCUACGGGAGGCAGCAGUGGGGAAUAUUGGACAAUGGGCGAAAGCCUGAUCCGGCCAUACCGCGUGGGGGAAGAAGGCCUUCGGGUUGUAAAGCCCUUUUGUUGGGAAAGAAAUCCAGCUGGCUAAUACCCGGUUGGGAUGACGGUACCCAAAGAAUAAGCACCGGCUAACUUCGUGCCAGCAGCCGCCGUAA